UGCUCGCCCUCUCCAUGGCGACACCGACACGUGUUUCAACAUCUUUCUUUUAUACACGAUCUUACCUGAAAUUUAAUUUCCAUUCUCAUGUCACGAAUUUUAUCAUUAUCUUAUUACUUCCUAUUGUGUACAGUGAAAGCAGUAAGAAUUGUGGACGGGUUAAUAGCAAAAGACUAUGAUUCUUUCUUGAAUUGAAAUAAUCGUUUUAUCCUAGAUACGUCGGAAACAAUUAGGAGACAGGAAGUUGGGAAUAGAAAUUAGAAAAAGAGAAAGAGAGAGAGAGAGAGAGAGAGAGAGAGAGAGAGAGAGAGACAUUGUCAAUUUUGUAUUUUUGCGUGAACAGGAACUAGUGAAUUACAAUUGACGAGGAUCUUAAAAUGACUCGUAACUUUGCUUAAAAAUUCAAUCCAUCGAAUUUGCAGCCACUCAAAGUUGUUGUACAGAAGAAAUUGAGUUAGGAUAUACGGUAAUUACCGGAGGAAUGUCGUGAUUGCGAGUGAAAAGAAAAAGGUGUCGAGGGGAAUGACUUUGAACGUGUUUGUAUGUGUAUAUGUUGUAUACAUAUAUAUAUGUAUAAUUUGAAGUCCAAGUGAAAUCAGAGUGUUGUCUGGUACCUCCGGAUGUUCAUGCGUGUCAAGAAAAUUAAAAAAGAAAUGAUCGAAGAAGUUCGAAUAAAAAAAAUUGUUUAAUAAUA
Long non-coding RNA from Vespa crabro (European hornet), 694 nucleotides. RefSeq lists it as uncharacterized. The transcript has 2 exons. The record is from RefSeq and is a predicted model, not a curated record. Lineage: Eukaryota; Metazoa; Arthropoda; Insecta; Hymenoptera; Vespidae.